Long non-coding RNA from Lontra canadensis (Northern American river otter), 630 nucleotides. RefSeq lists it as uncharacterized. Lineage: Eukaryota; Metazoa; Chordata; Mammalia; Carnivora; Mustelidae. The transcript has 3 exons. The record is from RefSeq and is a predicted model, not a curated record.
CUGAGCCACCCAGGCACCCCUUAGUGGAAUGUGAGAAGUGAUGUCUGCCACGACCAGAUCUUUUCCUCAAAGAAACUGGCAUGCCUUCAACCUGUUUUUUCCUCUAACCUUCUGGUCUGGAUACAAAAGUGAUGGUGCAGGCAAGAACCCCCAGCUUGGACCCAGAGACAAAAGCCACAUAUUGAAGAUGGCAGAGCCUCUUUACCAGCCCAGAAUGACCUACUUGGACUAUUAGUGUACCAUUUGAUAAGAAGAGGACUACUUUUGUCAGAAAAGAGAAAUAACUCCAGUUUUUGUUUUGCUUGUACUUUGCUACUGACAUUCAAGUAAGUAUAUUGGGUAAUUUUAAAGCUAGCAAUUAUAAACCAUAUAGUUUGCCAAAGCAACUGUAAUAACUCAUGUUUGCUGGCCUAGGUCAUGAGAGCAAACUGCUUUCAGUAGAAGUAAGUCAAUUAUAUGAAACAAUUUUUUUCUAGAUAAUUAGGUAGUAAUUAUGAAGGGAUCUGAUAUUUAGUCACUAAUUUUCCUUAGUAACUAAAUAUUUGAAAUAGGUGCCAUGCCCUUGGAAUGAACCUUAAAAUCUUACCUCCUACCAGGCUGGAUGCAUUAUAAGGCACAGAGGAUGGUGUG